Molecule: long non-coding RNA, 1545 nt
Filed under: Nicotiana benthamiana
Lineage: Eukaryota; Viridiplantae; Streptophyta; Magnoliopsida; Solanales; Solanaceae
Description: long non-coding RNA (NBEN_LNC031248)
Source: RNAcentral
GUAUGGUGACGGUUACCUAUGCGUCCGAGUCUAGCAUGACCGUGAGUCAUAAUUGCUAUUAAAAUUUCGAAAGAAGUGAACAGUUGUAAUAAUUACUUGUUAAAUGAACUAUGAAGUGAUAGUUGAGAAGCAAAUGAACUAAAAAGGAACUUUUUGUUCUUUUCCCUUGAUGGGACAUAUUGUUGAACUGUUUUCCCUUGCCGGGAUCUAUUGUUUAGCUGUAUUCCCUUGCCGGGAUUUAUUGUUGAGUUAUUCUGCCUUGCUGGAAUUUAUUGUUGAAUUAUUCUUCCUUGCUGGGAUAUUUUGCCUUUUUAUUUAUUCAUUUCCUGUUUGGUUGUGACCAUUGAUUGGGUGAGGAAGAGAGAGUAAAAGCACGAAGGGUGAUGCCUUGCACUAUGUAUUGAGAGUGAAAGCACGAAGGGUGAUGUCGUGCACUGUAUAUUGAGAGUAAAAGCAUGAAGGGUGAUGUCGUGCAUUAUAUUUGACAGUCUUGGUGAGGAAUAAGAGUAAAAACACGAAGGAUGAUGUCGUGCAUUAUAUUUGAUAGUUUUGGUGAAAACUGAGAGUAAAAGCACGAAGUGUGGUGCCGUGCGGUUGUUGAUUUACUGGCUUUCUCUAUUUAUUAUUAUAUAUUCAGAUCCAUUUCUCGUUUGUUGAAGUUAUAAUUGAACUGUUACACUCCCAGCAUGUCCCCUCCUCAUUAUCUGUUUAAAUUCUUGUUCUCUUUAUGCUAUUGCACAUAUAUAUGUACAGGUUGAUUAUGGUAGGUCCGAUUUAGCCUCGUCACUACCUCGUCGAGGUUAGGCCAGGCACUUACCAGCACAUGGGGUCGGUUGUGUUGAUACUACACAUUUGUGACUUUUUGUACACAGGUCAGGACACAUCCUACGGACCACAGCAGUAGUUAGGGAGCGAUCCUUCAGUCCAGAGACUCUAAGGUAGUUCACUGGCGCUCGCGGGCCCUGAGUCUCCUCUAUCUCUUACAGUUUGUUUUUAUUGUAUCAAAACAGACAUGUUAUGUACUUCUUUCAGACUGUUGUUUUUAGUACUCUUUUAGUCGUUCGUGAGUAGUGACACCAGAUACUGGAUAGAGGCAUGUUAUUAAUUUUUGCACUUUAUCUUUGCUAUCGUUCCUAAAAGUCUUCCGCGUGGUUUUAUUUAAUUAAUUCAGUAUUUAUAUUGUUUUAGAUUAAGGUUAUUGUGAAAAUGAUUAAAAAGGGUUGGCGUGCCUAGCUUCGAUAGUGAGAUUGGAUAUUUCUGAGCCUAGUAGGGAUUGUGAAAAUGAUUAAAAAUGGUUGGCUUGCCUAGCUUCGACAGUAUGCAAUCACGAUUCCUGAUGGUGGGAAAAUACGGGUUGUGACAAUAAUACAGACCCUGGUUCGAGUCCUAGACAAUGCAUUUUUAUAAUUGCAUAAUUAACAAUAACGAUUGAAUUCUGUCAGAAAAUACCGACCUACUUUGGUCAGUUUUUUCGGUAAACUUUUUCUUUUGGGUCAUUUGUGAAAAAUAAAUUAGACCGAAAUCGAUCGAAAAUUCUGACCGAUU